RNAcentral lists this transfer RNA (71 nucleotides) under Clostridium sp. RNAcentral describes it as "tRNA-Gly". It matches the Rfam family "tRNA". From Rfam's summary of the family: Transfer RNA (tRNA) molecules are approximately 80 nucleotides in length. Their secondary structure includes four short double-helical elements and three loops (D, anti-codon, and T loops). The record is from RNAcentral. RNAcentral also lists the same sequence under 8 other names. Lineage: Bacteria; Bacillati; Bacillota; Clostridia; Eubacteriales; Clostridiaceae.
GCAGGCGUAGUUCAUUGGUAGAACAUCAGCUUCCCAAGCUGAGGAGGCGGGUUCGAUUCCCGUCGCCUGCU